CCUUGAUGAUUAUCAGGGGAUUAAUGAUGAGGGUUUUUCUCAAAAUGCAUACAAAUCACAGGCUGUGAGCUGCACAACAGAAGAUUAAGCAUCAAGCAGAGCACUAUUGCAGCCCUCUCUGACAAUCUGAGGGCACGGAUGAGAGUCGUGGAUAAAUUAUUCACAAGAGGUGCUUCUUGUGGGUUUAAAAAAGGAGAAAGAGGAAAACUGACAAAACUGAAUGGUCAGGCACACCAUUGGGACUUGACUGGAUCUCCUGAAGUAAAGCUCAUGACACUUCAUGUCAGACAUUUAACAAGGCCAAGUGAUACAAGCUAUACGAAACUAUUUCUACAUGAUCAUUUCAAUUAAUAAGAAAGUAAAAAUUACAACACGACAACAUUGCUACUUCUACUAGCCUGAUGCCAA
This 408-nucleotide long non-coding RNA is filed under the name Lepisosteus oculatus (spotted gar). Its description in RNAcentral is "lncRNA (ENSLOCG00000021078.1)". The record is from RNAcentral. Lineage: Eukaryota; Metazoa; Chordata; Actinopteri; Semionotiformes; Lepisosteidae.